GUCGUCAGCUCGUGUCGUGAGAUGUUGGGUUAAGUCCCGCAACGAGCGCAACCCUCGCCCUUAGUUGCCAGCAUUUAGUUGGGCACUCUAAGGGGACUGCCGGUGAUAAGCCGAGAGGAAGGUGGGGAUGACGUCAAGUCCUCAUGGCCCUUACGGGCUGGGCUACACACGUGCUACAAUGGUGGUGACAGUGGGCAGCGAGCACGCGAGUGUGAGCUAAUCUCCAAAAGCCAUCUCAGUUCGGAUUGCACUCUGCAACUCGAGUGCAUGAAGUUGGAAUCGCUAGUAAUCGCGGAUCAGCAUGCCGCGGUGAAUACGUUCCCGGGCCUUGUACACACCGCCCGUCACACCAUGGGAGUUGGUUUAACCCGAAGGUAGUGCGCUAACCGCAAGGAGGCUA
This 400-nucleotide ribosomal RNA is filed under the name Martinezella tropici. Its description in RNAcentral is "bacterial SSU rRNA". It matches the Rfam family "Bacterial small subunit ribosomal RNA", at positions 1051 to 1452 of the family's 1533-position model. The record is from RNAcentral. Lineage: Bacteria; Pseudomonadati; Pseudomonadota; Alphaproteobacteria; Hyphomicrobiales; Rhizobiaceae.